RNAcentral lists this ribosomal RNA (425 nucleotides) under uncultured bacterium. RNAcentral describes it as "bacterial SSU rRNA". It matches the Rfam family "Bacterial small subunit ribosomal RNA", at positions 356 to 773 of the family's 1533-position model. The record is from RNAcentral.
GGGGAAUCUUCCGCAAUGGACGAAAGUCUGACGGAGCAACGCCGCGUGAACGAUGACGGCCUUCGGGUUGUAAAGUUCUGUUAUACGGGACGAAUGGUACGACGGUCAAUACCCGUCGUAAGUGACGGUACCGUAAGAGAAAGCCACGGCUAACUACGUGCCAGCAGCCGCGGUAAUACGUAGGUGGCAAGCGUUGUCCGGAAUUAUUGGGCGUAAAGGGCGCGCAGGCGGCGUCGUAAGUCGGUCUUAAAAGUGCGGGGCUUAACCCCGUGAGGGGACCGAAACUGCGAUGCUAGAGUAUCGGAGAGGAAAGCGGAAUUCCUAGUGUAGCGGUGAAAUGCGUAGAUAUUAGGAGGAACACCAGUGGCGAAAGCGGCUUUCUGGACGACAACUGACGCUGAGGCGCGAAAGCCAGGGGAGCAAAC